Long non-coding RNA from Macrobrachium nipponense, 276 nucleotides. RefSeq lists it as uncharacterized. NCBI's taxonomy places the organism in Eukaryota, Metazoa, Arthropoda, Malacostraca, Decapoda, Palaemonidae. The record is from RefSeq and is a predicted model, not a curated record. The transcript has 3 exons.
ACGUACGGAACAAUUCAUGGCCACUGAUAGCAGAGCUUUCUCCCAAAUUAUUUUUAAAAAGGUGACUGAUUUCCUUCGAUAAAUACCCAGUUUAAACUUAUGCUUCACCCCACAGGCAAACAUUUCAACAUGGUGAGAACACUGGUCGUGUUUGCAUGGACCUUGGCGGGACUCUGUGCUCUGUCUCUGGCUGUCGGGUAUGACCAGUGCGACAAAAGCAUCUCGGACAGGUGCCCAUCAGUAGACCCAGGCACUCCCGUCUAUUACCCGGUCCCU